GGGGGGCGGUUAGAGGGUUGGCAGAAUGCUGUUUCAAAAUAAGAGGGAAAAAUGAAGAAUUCUUUUUUGGAGGGUCGGGAGUGAGGUAUUUUAUUUUAAAGACGACUUCAGACUAGUCGGGAGCGACUCAGAGUCUCUGGGUUGGUGUGUUCUCAGCAGUCGCCAUGCCUGUGACACAGACACCCCAAGCUUUAAGGGGUCCGUGGAGGAUCUGUCCCCCAACCCCCGCCGCCAACUUGUUCUCAGAUGACCUUUUGGGACCUCCGUUUUGAAAGUGUCCCCGCCCCAGUCCCCCAGCUAUGUUUCCUAAGUCUCCUCUGGGAACGAAUUUGGGAGAAUAAAGCUGUAGCUGGCUGGCCUACUUCCGCACAGCUUGGCUGGUGUCUGUCGGCGGAGGCAGGGUGUGCCAGUGGUGGCAGCCAGGCUCAGGCUCCCGACGUGGGAGUUGGGAAAGAGACAAAGACGGGAGCUGUCCGCGGUGCUGAAGCCGCGCAGAAGGGCUCCUGUAACCAAUCGUGCCUCUCUUAGAGCCUCUCGCCUUCUAAUCUCAUCUUUGCUCUGGGUCUCCCCUGUGUUCAUGUCAUUUUUGUGAGGGCUUCUUCUUCGAAUCAAUGUCUUUAAUGGAAGUCUUUCUAUCUAUCUAUCUAUCUAUCUAUCUAUCUAUCUAUCUAUCUAUCUAUCUCCUAUCUGUCCACCCACCUUGAAGAACAAAUCGGCUGAUUAAAAGCAAUUUCUUCUUUCUAUCCCAAAUACGGGACAAGAGAGAGGUUUCUUUUAAUAACACUCAAAAGCAGCUGUUUUAGCCCCCCUCCACUCCCUGAAAAGAUGUGGAAGUGUUUAUUUAAAACAAUAAAUCCCAAACACAACGAACA
This is a long non-coding RNA of Mastomys coucha (southern multimammate mouse), 872 nucleotides long. RefSeq lists it as uncharacterized. The transcript has 2 exons. NCBI's taxonomy places the organism in Eukaryota, Metazoa, Chordata, Mammalia, Rodentia, Muridae. The record is from RefSeq and is a predicted model, not a curated record.